AUGAUCGGAACCAAGCAGGCCUUCUCUUUCAUCUCCAAGGAGGCGGAGCACAAGGGUGGACCCCGCGGCGGGUUCAUCAUGCACGAGCUCCUUCUCCCCGGCCAGGCAGGACGCCUCGCCGGCGGGGACGAGCUGGCGCUCUCAAAGGUCUACCCGUCUCCGCGCGUCGCCACCAAGAAGAGGUCCAGGUCCCAGGGACAGGGACCGACCGCCAGCGCAACAAGGACCGCGGCCGCCUCCUCUGCUCCAGCGCCGACGUCUUCGCCGCCGCUGCUCCAGCGCUCCUGCGACGUCUUCAGCAGCGCAAGAAGCAGCAGCGCCGUCUCCUCUCCGCCUCCUUCCCUGGAGCCGCCGGCCUCCUCUGCUCCGCCUUCCCUGGAGGCCUCGUCUCUCGGGCCGGCAUCCUCUGCGCCGGGGCCGGCAUCCUCUUCUCCGCCCCCCAUCCAGGGAUCGUCUCCACGGCACCGGCAGGGUGCCGCCAAGAGGGUGCUCCUCCUGGAGGUGGGCGACUCCCCCCCGAGGGAAGGCCACAACAUUUCGUGCCACCAGGUCUACCGCGCCAUGGAGGUUCUUGGACCCGGGAGGCGUGUCCCCAUCGACUGCGCUGACCUCUUCCUGCUUGACAGCGGGAAGGGGAAGAGGCAGCGGACGGCUGCAGAGUUUUGA
RNAcentral lists this ribosomal RNA (666 nucleotides) under Triticum aestivum (bread wheat). RNAcentral's name for it is "partial small subunit ribosomal RNA". Lineage: Eukaryota; Viridiplantae; Streptophyta; Magnoliopsida; Poales; Poaceae. The record is from RNAcentral.